AUCUAGCCGACGAGUCCUAAAUAGAACGAAACAGACGUCAAGCCGGAU
Non-coding RNA from Schistosoma curassoni, 48 nucleotides. The record is from Rfam. Lineage: Eukaryota; Metazoa; Platyhelminthes; Trematoda; Strigeidida; Schistosomatidae.